GGAUUAGAUACCCCACUAUGCUAGACCGUAAAUUCCACUCACACCAACAAACGCCAGGGUACUACGAGCCCCGCUUAAAACCUAAAGGACUUGACGGUGCCCCAUCCCCCUAGAGGAGCCUGUUCUAUAAUCGACAACCCCCGAUACACCUCACCACUAUUUGCUCUUCAGCCUGUAUACCUCCGUCGAAAGCCUGCCAUAUGAAUGACCUACAGCAGGCCUAAUGAUUUAACCCUCAGUACGUCAGGUCAAGGUGCAGCCAAUAUAGUGGGAAGUAAUGGGCUACAAUUUCUAGCAUAGAACACACAGAUUGCCACCUGAAACAGUGGACAUGAAGGCGGAUUUAGUAGUAAGAAGAAAACAACGUGUUCUCCUUAACCGGCACUGGGUCGCGUACAAACCGCCCGUCACCCUCUUCAACAGCACCUUUAAUUAUAUAUAAAAAAUUUCGCACCUUAGAAGAGGCAAGUCGUAACAUGGUAAGUGUACUGGAAAGUGCCCUUAGGACAA
RNAcentral lists this ribosomal RNA (510 nucleotides) under Alcalus mariae (Palawan eastern frog). RNAcentral describes it as "partial 12S ribosomal RNA". It matches the Rfam family "Bacterial small subunit ribosomal RNA", at positions 775 to 1525 of the family's 1533-position model. Lineage: Eukaryota; Metazoa; Chordata; Amphibia; Anura; Ceratobatrachidae. The record is from RNAcentral.